AGUCUUUAGACCUUCUUGAUCAGGAUGCACUGUGUUCCUAGCCGAAGGACAGCAUCUGGGUGAAUGUGGCUUGGGCGUGAGGUUGCAGAGGAGGGAUCCACUCAGGGCAGGUCAUAGCAGCGCUCGCUGUCUUGAGUUCAGAUCAUCUUUAGUAAAGUGGGGCAAAGUGGGGCCUGAAUCCCUUGGCUGAGGCAGGAACCUGGAUUGCUUGGGUGAAGGAGAGUCAAUCUGAGUCUGUUUUUCUUUGGAUGUAGUAGCCAGAAUACAACUCGCUGCAGCUAAAACCUGCAGUUUCUGGGGUUGAAGGAGUAGGUUUUAUUUCCUUCUUCCACUAGCCAGAGUUACCAGGCCCAGGGAGGUGAAGGUAGUGCACCUGGUCAGUCAGAGUUGUAAAGCCAGUGUGACUUCCAGAGCAUUCCCAUGCUUCCUCCUUCCUGUCUUCUCAGAACACUAUCCUUUUUCAGGAAAACAGCCCCAAAGAGGACUGAUCCUCUCCUGCAAUACUGACAGCCAUGGCCCAGGGAUCAGUGGUGUUCAGUGAUGUGUCCGUAGACUUCUCUCAGGAGGAGUGGGAGGGCCUGGACCCUGCUCACAGGGACUUGUACAGGGAUGUGAUGCUGGAGAACUACAGCAACCUGGUGUCCGUGGGGAAAGAGCCCUGGGUCGUUGGCAGAGAGCUGACUAGAGGACUGUGUUCAGUAUAAAGAAGUAAAGGCGCAAGAAGCACAUGGUUAUUGAAAAUGCUUCAGAAGGCAAAAUAAAAGAUACAAUGAGAUCUCUGUGACCUGGAGGAAAGCCCUCUUCCAAUUGUGCUGGUGCUCCAGUCUCAAAUUUCCAGACUUGAGAACUGCUCAACAAGAUUCAAGAGGAGGGACCAUUGGCUUUCUCCCCAACUCAAAGAACAUGUGUGAGAUGGGGAGAUUGUGACUAUUUGGAAAAAAUAAGCAGCCACAACACUCUUGCCAGAAGCACAUUGUGUAGGAGAUAGCUUUUUCUGCUCUUGAUUUUGGAUUUGCCCAUGUGACUUGCUUUGGCCAAGGGGCCAGCUUCCAUCUGGGUAUUUCUUGCGACUCUUGCCUUAGAACCUUGAGCUGCAAUGUAAGAUGUCUGAGGCUACCAUGCUGGUUAAGGCGACCAGACUAGACCCAUGGAAAGACCAUAUGGAGAAACACUGGUAUUACAUGAAAUAAGAGAGAUGUCCAGUUGCUCUGGAACUUCACACUGUUCCAGGUUCAGCUAUCAUGAAGUCCUGAGUCAGAACUGUCCAGCCAGUCUGAUUCUGAAUUCCUGACCCAGAUAAACCAUGGAAGUUAAUCAAUGAUAGCUGUUGUUUGAAACCAUUAACCUAGAGACAUUGAAUGUAAAGACAAUGCCAACUCAUUCAUGACACAUGACAAUAGAACUCUGACCCAUAAACUGUGGCAACCACCUCGUUUUCGGGAAGGAAACCAAGCUACAACCUUGGCAGCAAUCAGUUUGAAACACUCAGGACUUGGUGACGGCCAGCUUCCCUGUUUUUUGUGUUUUCUUUUGCCUGUGCUUCCAGUUCACGACCAACCAGAGAAAGCCCAUACCAAUUCCCAAAUCAGUAACAUAAGAUGCACUGCUCCUAGUUAAGCCCACCUCCGGCUUCUCUAUGCCAGUGACCUCCCAUCAGAGCAACCCUAGAGACGGCCCUUUUUCAUUCCGCUCUCCUGCAUGCUUUGGAGUCUCUGCCAAACACAGCUGAUAGUAGCUGUAGCGCCAGUAAUUUGAAACAACCCGUCGAUAACACGACAAGACAUUAAUUACAUACAUAACAUGUAAAAGUUUAAAAAUAUUGCAGGAAGAACAUAAUGUUCAACAUCUAUUUGGUUUUAAAAGCGGCUUAGGAAGACAUAUAUGAAAUGAUACAAGCUUAAAUAUAGCUAUGUCUGAAUGGAGAAAUUAGAGGCAUUGUUUAUUCCUGACUGUGGACAGCGCGUGGAGGCUCCAGUGUUAUGGGGUUUGGGCGCCCAGCCUCCGCAAGAGAGAUGCCCCCAGGUGAGACUCUGAGCUCACCUGUAGCGGCCUCUCCACGGCCCCGCCGCACCUUGGGGCGGGACUUCGGUCGCGCCCCCGGCCUUCGCAGGGGCUUCUGGGAAAUGAGGUUCUCGCCCCCCCCACACCCACACCACCCCGCCUCCCCCGUCCCCCUGCUCGGCCCCGGCACCUCUCUGCGCGCGGGCGGCGCGGGUUGGCCUUCUUGGCGGCGCAGGAGGGCAGAGCAGGUCUUCCGCUGCACCGCGAUCCGGGAAGGCACCGUGGCGGCCUGGGGCCUGAGACAUACACGCGCACAUCUGGAGAGGUGAAGGAAUAUUGGAAGAGAUUCUAGAAGCAUGUGUGACUAUUUAAGAGAAAUCUUUUAAUGUCUGCACCAUGAUAGGUUCUGGUGGGGCUUGGGAGAGGUGGUUAACAGGAAGCUGUGGAUAUUAAGGAACGAAAGAAAAGACCCCCCAAGGAGAGGACCCUUUGCAACUCUACUGUUUUGGCUACUUCACCACCGUGGAGGAGGAGGCAAGAGUUCUGCCUCCAGCAAUACCUCAACUAAUGAGCAACUGUUACACAGCACAUGGGACUACCAGUUUCCUCCAAUGGACUUUUUACUUAGAACACUCCCCAUUCUCUUUUGUAAGAGUCUCCACUCUGUUCUCUAGACUGCCUACGGCUUUGCAAUAGCUUGCUUCUCUUGAAUUGCAAUUCUCUUCUUUUUCUGAAUAGACCCAUUUUUCUGGUAAAAUAACUGACAGCUUUAUUUUUAUUUUUUUAUUGAAGUAUCAUCAAUAAACAAUCUUAUAAUGGUUUCAAA
This is a non-coding RNA of Manis javanica (Malayan pangolin), 2827 nucleotides long. The record is from RefSeq and is a predicted model, not a curated record. Lineage: Eukaryota; Metazoa; Chordata; Mammalia; Pholidota; Manidae.